UACGGGAGGCAGCAGUGGGGAAUAUUGCACAAUGGGCGCAAGCCUGAUGCAGCCAUGCCGCGUGUAUGAAGAAGGCCUUCGGGUUGUAAAGUACUUUCAGUCGUGAGGAAGGUGUUAAGGUUAAUAACCUUAGCAAUUGACGUUAGCGACAGAAGAAGCACCGGCUAACUCCGUGCCAGCAGCCGCGGUAAUACGGAGGGUGCGAGCGUUAAUCGGAAUUACUGGGCGUAAAGGGCACGCAGGCGGUUAAUUAAGUUGGAUGUGAAAUCCCCGGGCUUAACCUGGGAAUGGCAUUCAAGACUGGUUAGCUAGAGUCUUGUAGAGGGGGUUAGAAUUCCAUGUGUAGCGGUGAAAUGCGUAGAGAUGUGGAGGAAUACCGGUGGCGAAGGCGGCCCCUGGACAAAGGACUGACGCUCAUGUGCGAAAGCGUGGGGAGCGAAAC
This 442-nucleotide ribosomal RNA is filed under the name uncultured bacterium. RNAcentral describes it as "bacterial SSU rRNA". It matches the Rfam family "Bacterial small subunit ribosomal RNA", at positions 340 to 774 of the family's 1533-position model. The record is from RNAcentral.